UACGAAGGGGGCUAGCGUUGCUCGGAAUGACUGGGCGUAAAGGGCGCGUAGGCGGUUUCCGCAGUCAGAUGUGAAAUUCCUGGGCUUAACCUGGGGGCUGCAUUUGAGACGCGGAGGCUUGAGUGGGGAAGAGGGUCGUGGAAUUCCCAGUGUAGAGGUGAAAUUCGUAGAUAUUGGGAAGAACACCGGUGGCGAAGGCGGCGACCUGGUCCUUUACUGACGCUGAGGCGCGAAAGCGUGGGGAGCAAACAGG
This 253-nucleotide ribosomal RNA is filed under the name uncultured bacterium. RNAcentral's name for it is "partial 16S ribosomal RNA". It matches the Rfam family "Bacterial small subunit ribosomal RNA", at positions 524 to 776 of the family's 1533-position model. The record is from RNAcentral.